This 24-nucleotide ribosomal RNA is filed under the name Gongora sp. SRR-2011. Its description in RNAcentral is "partial 18S ribosomal RNA". Lineage: Eukaryota; Viridiplantae; Streptophyta; Magnoliopsida; Asparagales; Orchidaceae. The record is from RNAcentral.
GGGGAACCUGCGGAAGGAUCUUUG